Molecule: ribosomal RNA, 253 nt
Filed under: uncultured bacterium
Lineage: Bacteria
Description: partial 16S ribosomal RNA
Rfam family: Bacterial small subunit ribosomal RNA
Source: RNAcentral
UACGAAGGGGACUAGCGUUGCUCGGAAUCACUGGGCGUAAAGGGUGCGUAGGCGGGUCUUUAAGUCAGGGGUGAAAUCCUGGAGCUCAACUCCAGAACUGCCUUUGAUACUGAGGAUCUUGAGUUCGGGAGAGGUGAGUGGAACUGCGAGUGUAGAGGUGAAAUUCGUAGAUAUUCGCAAGAACACCAGUGGCGAAGGCGGCUCACUGGACCGGAACUGACGCUGAGGCGCGAAAGCGUGGGGAGCAAACAGG